This 453-nucleotide long non-coding RNA is filed under the name Phaseolus vulgaris (common bean). RNAcentral's name for it is "long non-coding RNA (PVUL_LNC000255)". The record is from RNAcentral. Lineage: Eukaryota; Viridiplantae; Streptophyta; Magnoliopsida; Fabales; Fabaceae.
UUUAAUUUUAUUUUUCAGCACACAGAUAUAUAAUGUGUAUCUUAAAAUUUCAAAACUGUGGUCAUCCAGUACCCGAUACAGCUUUUUCAGAGUCAGACACUACGUGCUGCUAUUUUGAAUUGACUGGUUGUAGAUCAUCCCUGAACAAAAGCAAAACAAAAUGAUAUUUUCAGUCACCUGACAGAAGUCUGAAGCUUAAAAAUUCGAUGGAAUAACAACCACAUAAGCCAAUAUGCUUGAACAUCACUUGCAUCUUGAGUAGCUAACUUAUGCAAAAUCAACUCAGAUUCUUUCCACCGUAUAAGGAUCACUGAUGGAUUCCAUUAUUCUUGACCAAAAUACCAUGUCAGGUUUUGACUCGAGUAACUCCUUAGUAACUGAAUCAUUAUUUGAUGAUAAGCAGCUGUUGACCAGCCUUAGAACUUCAGGUAUUAAUUCACUAGAUAGAAGAUC